CAAUAGCGUAUAUUAAAGUUGUUGCAGUUAAAAAGCUCGUAGUUGAAUUUCGGGUCCCCGCGCUCGGCGCUUCAUUGUGCCGUCGUGGUGUCCCUCCUCGCCGUAAGGCGUCCUUUACUGUGAAAAAAUUAGAGUGUUCAAAGCAGGCAAUCGCUUGAAUACAUUAGCAUGGAAUAAUAAGAUAGGAUCUUGUCUAUUUUGUUGGUUGCGGACAACGAUAAUGAUUAAUAGGGAUAGUUGGGGGUGUCCGUAUUGAGCUGUCAGAGGUGAAAUUCUUGGAUUUGCUCAAGACGGACUACUGCGAAAGCAUUCACCAAGGAUGUUUUCAUUAA
This 332-nucleotide ribosomal RNA is filed under the name uncultured eukaryote. RNAcentral describes it as "partial 18S ribosomal RNA". It matches the Rfam family "Eukaryotic small subunit ribosomal RNA", at positions 592 to 976 of the family's 1831-position model. The record is from RNAcentral.